UACGUAGGUGGCAAGCGUUAUCCGAAAUUAUUGGGCGUCAAGAGGGAGCAGGCGGCAGCAAAGGUCUGUGGUGAAAGACUGAAGCUUAACUUCAGUAAGCCAUAGAAACCGGGCAGCUAGAGUGCAGGAGAGGAUCGUGGAAUUCCAUGUGUAGCGGUGAAAUGCGUAGAUAUAUGGAGGAACACCAGUGGCGAAGGCGACGAUCUGGCCUGCAACCGACGCUCAGUCCCGAAAGCGUGGGGAGCAAAUAGG
Molecule: ribosomal RNA, 252 nt
Filed under: uncultured bacterium
Lineage: Bacteria
Description: partial 16S ribosomal RNA
Rfam family: Bacterial small subunit ribosomal RNA
Source: RNAcentral